This 725-nucleotide long non-coding RNA is filed under the name Setaria viridis. Its description in RNAcentral is "long non-coding RNA (SVIR_LNC011477)". The record is from RNAcentral. Lineage: Eukaryota; Viridiplantae; Streptophyta; Magnoliopsida; Poales; Poaceae.
CUCACUGUAGAAGUAUAGCCGUUGAGAUAUACACCCACAGCAUAGGUCAACACGGAGAUAUAUACAAUCGCUAUCGCUAACUGAGAACCAGGAAUCAGCUAAACUAACAAAGCUGCUUGAUCCACGGCGUCGAGACUACCACCAUCACAUCCCUGCAUUUGGAUUAUUGCCAGCAAGAAUAAGAGAAAUCUCCAACCCUCUGCUGAAAGCCUGGUUGAACAGAAGACGCGUCUGGAAGGUAGAUAUGAAUGGAAACCAUGAGCAGAUGGCUAUGGGAACAAAAAUGAUCAUCCCCAUGCCAGCGUCAUAAAGGCGAGCUAGGGAGCGCACUGUCUUCCACAAACCCAAUUUCUUCACAAUCGGUUUCCACGCCACAGCAAUCUGUAAACAAAAAAAAAGGCCAAAUAAGGUUUGCAGCGUACACAAGUGUACGAAGAUUUGACUAGUCAAUCCGAAUGCUAAGAGUUGACUGGUCAAGAGGAAACAAAGGGAGUGUUUGCAAAAAAAAAAGGCUUAUAUGCAAUAAUUCAGAGUUUCAGGAAGUGUUUGCCAAGCGAAGGAAAGCCAGACUAAACACUGGCAAUAUUUCAUGGAUAUACAAGCUGGCAGAACAAACUCACCGAAAGAAUUCCCCACCCAGUUGGCACAAAUGCUAGAAUGGAAGCAAAUACAUCUUUGACACUGAGGGCAGUAAACACAGUAGCCACGAUCAAACCAGCCAAAAC